This 657-nucleotide ribosomal RNA is filed under the name Staphylococcus haemolyticus. Its description in RNAcentral is "bacterial LSU rRNA". It matches the Rfam family "Bacterial large subunit ribosomal RNA", at positions 473 to 1130 of the family's 2925-position model. The record is from RNAcentral. Lineage: Bacteria; Bacillati; Bacillota; Bacilli; Caryophanales; Staphylococcaceae.
CUCCCUAGUGACCGAUAGUGAACCAGUACCGUGAGGGAAAGGUGAAAAGCACCCCGGAAGGGGAGUGAAAUAGAACCUGAAACCGUGUGCCUACAACAAGUCAAAGCCCGUUAAUGGGUGAUGGCGUGCCUUUUGUAGAAUGAACCGGCGAGUUACGAUUGCAUGCGAGGUUAAGUUGAAGAGACGGAGCCGCAGCGAAAGCGAGUCUGAAUAGGGCGUUUGAGUAUGUAGUCGUAGACCCGAAACCAUGUGAUCUACCCAUGUCCAGGUUGAAGGUGCGGUAAAACGCACUGGAGGACCGAACCCACGUACGUUGAAAAGUGCGGGGAUGAGGUGUGGGUAGCGGAGAAAUUCCAAACGAACUUGGAGAUAGCUGGUUCUCUCCGAAAUAGCUUUAGGGCUAGCCUCGGAAUUGAGAAUGAUGGAGGUAGAGCACUGUUUGGACUAGGGGCCCAUCUCGGGUUACCGAAUUCAGAUAAACUCCGAAUGCCAUUCAUUUAUAUCCGGGAGUCAGACUGCGAGUGAUAAGAUCCGUAGUCGAAAGGGAAACAGCCCAGACCACCAGCUAAGGUCCCAAAAUAUAUGUUAAGUGGAAAAGGAUGUGGGGUUGCACAGACAACUAGGAUGUUGGCUUAGAAGCAGCCACCAUUUAAAGAG